CAAUUUUUCAAAAUCUAAAAAUUUUACAAAUUUCAUUCAAAAUUUAUCACUAAUCGUGGUCAUUAUUUCAAGUUCUCUCAAAGGAUGAACCCUAAAGGGUUUCUUCUCCUUCAUUGCCGCACCUUCUUCAGAGAUAUACGAACCCUUUCGAGCUCUCACUGACAUACAAAGUCUCGCUCACUCUCAGUUCAGCGCCUCCCCUUGCCUCCACUCUCGUUCACUCUCAACUUAGUCCCUUCUCACCAUCACUCUCCAUCGCCGGCAGUCCAUGCCACCGUCUCGCCAUGAGUCCCUUUCGUAAUCUCUCCCUUUGGCUCUCAUUCGCUCUCGCUUGCUUCUGUCCAUAAGUCCCCCUCGGCGUCACUCCAUCUGUCCAUCUGGUAAUAGCUUCUCUCAUGGUUCAUUCAUAAAACCCUAAAAUUGGAAGAUCAGAAAACCCUAAUUUAAGAUAUUUUCGAUGAAAUGUUUUUUUUUUCUCAUUAUGUUUUUGUUGGAGUUUUCUUUAAAACCGUGGAAAAUAGGGUAAUGUGAGUAAAGCCCAUGAAAAAUUUACUCACUCACACUCGUCAAUGGUGAGGCUUAGGACGGGCAUUGAUUCGGCGUUCUGGGACCUCAACGUGGCCUCGCCGUAGUGCCACGACGGUUGGGCCAAGUCCGUUCCCGGAGACCCUUUUUCGGUGGAAGCCUCCGUUGCCAGCAAAGUGCUCCGCCCACAACAAUUUUCCUUCCUCUGAAACGAGCUCCCUUUUCCCAUUGUCGCUCCCUUGCUCUCUCCCACUUUCCCCCAAGGGUUUGGGCUCCUUCGGUCUCCAGGACCUUCUCCUCAAACUCUCCUCUUCUCGUUGGUACCUAACUUUUUCACUCUCAAACAACUUGCUUUCGCUACUCUUUUGUGAUUUGGUUGAUGUUGAUGGCAAAUGGGGUCUCCAGCUUUUGAUUGACAGUUCUUGUUAUUGAUAUGUUAAGGUUAUAUUCGUUGGGGAACUUUUUAUUUGGAAAAGUCUUUUAUCUGGCAUGUUCCAGAAUUUCAUUCGCGUGCAUUGAUUUCCAAUUACCUGGUUGUUGUAUCAAGAGUAUGAUACGGAGGAACAUGGUGAAAACCUUGUGAGUUUACNGGUCAAAGUUUGGUGGGCCAAGGAUCAUGAGUAAGUACUUGGCAUGUCUUGACAUUUUCAUAUGUUGUCACUGUCAGUGUAAAUUGUUUUAAGAAGCAGUAAGAAAGUGGUUCAUAUGGUUUUACAUUUCCUUUUAAAUUUAAUAUGUACUUUGGAUUGCAACUUAAGGAGUUUUAGCUGCAUUCCUUACUACAUGUCCUUCGGUCACCAGUAACUUUGCAUUGGUAGACUCAUGUGAAGCAAGAGUUUCAAAUNAAUUNNGGCAUGGAUUUUGUGUUUGUUUGGUCAAUUCUACAUUAGUUCCAUUAUAUCUUUAUUCGAGUCUAAAAUCACUUCAUNGUCUCUUUUUCAAUCAAUUAAAUUUCUACUCCCAAUAAACAAAUUAGUUUCUUCUCCAAGGGUUUGCUUAUCAAAUUUUGAUCCUACAACUGCAUUAUUGACGACAGACUUACCUUGAACCAGUUAAAGUUUAUCAACAAUUGGUGGUUUCACUUGGCUAAUAAUUUUCAUUUUCUGAUGAGGAGCUUUUGCGCUUGACAGCAUCUCACUGCGAAUUUUCUCCAAGUCAUCAUCAAUCAUAUAUAUUAGCAUCAAAAGUCUCUUGUUUCCUUAGCAUUUGACACGUAGUACAUAUAACUAUAAUGUAUCUAAUUUGAUUCAUGUUACAUAACUAGUUGGUUUUGAUGCAGGAAAAACUAGAAAUAGUUAAGAAGGAUUGUGAAGCAAUUAGUGCUGUUAAAGGAUUUUUAGGUGAUUUGCAAAAAUAAUCUUGAUACGUGACUCCAAGUUAUGCAUAUUUUAUAGAACACUCAAAGCCUAAAUACAAAGUUCUUUACCUAGCAGAGGGUUUAAUAGCAGUGGUUACAAGUAAUUGAGGUACUUUUAUUUGAAUAUGUACUACUUCUCUAGUAAGUUUAAUUAGGGAGCAUUUCAUUUCAAUCUUAAUCAUAUGGAUAUUGAAGUAUGUACCUUUACUUGUUCAUUGUGCUGCUUUUCAUUAUUCUAACCUUUACUUGUUCAUUAUGCCAACUAUAGUUUAUGGCAACUUGAUUUUCAUUUAGCUUUUAAGUUGUUGUAGGUCUAACUCUCUGUUGCUAUUUGAUGGAUGUUAACUACUAAGUUUAGGCCUCUUAUCUCUUCUCUUAUAUACUAGUUGAAUCAUGAAAUUAUUGUCUUAGGAGUCAUGAUUGUAGGUUUUUGUUAUUCUAACUACAUUAUUUAUAUGUGAACUUUUCUUUGUACCCUUGUAUAUACAUUGUAUACUCUAAUGAUGUAUUAAUUUCCUUUACAAAGAACUACACAACUUUCCUACUAAAUAUUUUUUUUUCUAUGAGGAAAACACAUAAUUCAUGAAUAAUCACAACUUUGAGGUAAUAAAUAAGUGUGAAAACAAGUAUUUUUCACACUUAUCAACUUUCCCAAACUUCAAUUAUUUCAUGUCCUCAUGAAAACACAACCCAACAUAAUUGACAACUGAAAAUUUUAAACAAUAACUUUGCACACCAGAAAAAGUUACAUGCUGAUAUUUCUUAAAAUAGUUUUUUAAUACAUUUUUUUCCUGCAAAUUUAUUGGUCCUUGGAUAACUAUGCUUGACUGUUCU
Vigna radiata var. radiata (mung bean) is the source of this 2716-nucleotide long non-coding RNA. RefSeq lists it as uncharacterized. The record is from RefSeq and is a predicted model, not a curated record. The transcript is spliced from 4 exons. NCBI's taxonomy places the organism in Eukaryota, Viridiplantae, Streptophyta, Magnoliopsida, Fabales, Fabaceae.